Long non-coding RNA from Alligator sinensis (Chinese alligator), 231 nucleotides. RefSeq lists it as uncharacterized. Lineage: Eukaryota; Metazoa; Chordata; Crocodylia; Alligatoridae. The transcript is spliced from 3 exons. The record is from RefSeq and is a predicted model, not a curated record.
GAGCUGCUGGUCAUGAGGCAGAAUGAUGUAUUAAAAUAACCUUGCAAAUGCUUAGGUUUUCUGAUUAUGAGUCAGUUUGCAUCAAUUUCCUACACAGUACUUUGAAGGCUAUGUAACCUGUCCUUGAAGUAGUAGUAUAUAUCAAAUAAGAUCAACAAGCCACUGCUGCCAGAAAUAAAAGUUGUAAAUGAAGAAUCUCAAAAAUCUAAUUAAUAAAUUAAGGUAAAAUGC